This 439-nucleotide ribosomal RNA is filed under the name uncultured bacterium. Its description in RNAcentral is "partial 16S ribosomal RNA". It matches the Rfam family "Bacterial small subunit ribosomal RNA", at positions 339 to 795 of the family's 1533-position model. The record is from RNAcentral.
CUACGGGGGGCAGCAGUGAGGAAUAUUGCACAAUGGGGGGAACCCUGAUGCAGCAACGCCGCGUGGAGGAUGACGCAUUUCGGUGUGUAAACUCCUUUUAUAUGUCAAGAAAAUGACGGUAGCAUAUGAAUAAGCACCGGCUAACUCCGUGCCAGCAGCCGCGGUAAUACGGAGGGUGCAAGCGUUACUCGGAAUCACUGGGCGUAAAGGACGCGUAGGCGGGUUGGAAAGUCAGGUGCGAAAUCCUACAGCCUAACUGUAGAACUGCACUUGAAACUUCUAAUCUAGAGUAUGGGAGGGGGAGAUGGAAUUAGUGGUGUAGGGGUAAAAUCCGUAGAUAUCACUAGGAAUACCUAAAGCGAAGGCGAUCUCCUGGAACAUUACUGACGCUAAGGCGUGAAAGCGUGGGGAGCAAACAGGAUUAGAUACCCGAGUAGUC